AGGUCAACAAUGCUGGUAUAGUUCUCAAAGGAAGUAUUGAAACCACUUCACUGGAAGACUUUGACAAAGUGAUGAGGAUCAACAUGAGGGCUGUCUUUUAUCUGACAUCACUGGCUGUGCCUUAUCUGACGGAAACACAAGGUUGUAUUGUGAAUGUCUCCAGUGUUAAUGGAAUGAGAUCAUUUCCUGGAGUUCUUGCAUACAACAUGUCUAAAAGUGCCGUUGAUCAACUCACAAGGUGCACUGCUUUAGAACUUGCUUCAAAAAAUGUUCGCUGUAACUCUGUCAAGUAAG
Long non-coding RNA from Orbicella faveolata, 294 nucleotides. The record is from RefSeq and is a predicted model, not a curated record. Lineage: Eukaryota; Metazoa; Cnidaria; Anthozoa; Scleractinia; Merulinidae.